Molecule: ribosomal RNA, 497 nt
Filed under: uncultured bacterium
Lineage: Bacteria
Description: partial 16S ribosomal RNA
Rfam family: Bacterial small subunit ribosomal RNA
Source: RNAcentral
GAUGAACGCUGGCGGCGUGCCUAAUACAUGCCAGUCGAGCGGACGGACGAGAAUCUUGCGGGUCUGAUGUGAGCGGCGGACGGGUGAGUAACACGUGUAUAACCUACCUAUAAGACGGGGAUAACUUCGGGAAACCGGAUCUAAUACCGUAGGAUAUUUUGAACCACAGGGUGGAAAGGUAAAAGACGGUCGUGGGGGCACGUAUAGAGGGAUCCGCGCUUCAUGGUCUAGUUGGUGAGUUAACGGCUUACCAAGGCAACGAUGCAUAGGCGACCUGAUAGGGUGAUAGCCCACCUUGGAACUGAGCCAACGUCCAGACUCCUACGGGAGGCAGCAGUAGGGAAUCUUCCGCAAUGGGCGAAAGCAUGACGGAGCAACGGCGCGUGAGUGAUGAAGGUCUUCGGAUCGUAAAACCCUGUUAUUAGGGAAGAACAUAUGUGUAAGUAACUGUGCACAUAUUGACGGUACCUAAUAAGAAAGCCACGGCUAACUACGUG